This 574-nucleotide ribosomal RNA is filed under the name uncultured beta proteobacterium. RNAcentral describes it as "bacterial SSU rRNA". It matches the Rfam family "Bacterial small subunit ribosomal RNA", at positions 150 to 720 of the family's 1533-position model. The record is from RNAcentral. Lineage: Bacteria; Pseudomonadati; Pseudomonadota; Betaproteobacteria.
GGCGAAAGCCGGAUUAAUACCGCAUACGACCUGAGGGUGAAAGCGGGGGAUCGCAAGACCUCGCGCUACUGGAGCGGCCGAUAUCAGAUUAGCUAGUUGGUGGGGUAAAGGCCUACCAAGGCAACGAUCUGUAGUUGGUCUGAGAGGACGACCAGCCACACUGGGACUGAGACACGGCCCAGACUCCUACGGGAGGCAGCAGUGGGGAAUUUUGGACAAUGGGCGCAAGCCUGAUCCAGCAAUGCCGCGUGCAGGAAGAAGGCCUUCGGGUUGUAAACUGCUUUUGUCAGGGAAGAAAUCUUCUGGGCUAAUACCCCGGGAGGAUGACGGUACCUGAAGAAUAAGCACCGGCUAACUACGUGCCAGCAGCCGCGGUAAUACGUAGGGUGCGAGCGUUAAUCGGAAUUACUGGGCGUAAAGCGUGCGCAGGCGGCUUUGCAAGACAGAGGUGAAAUCCCCGGGCUCAACCUGGGAACUGCCUUUGUGACUGCAAGGCUAGAGUACGGCAGAGGGGGAUGGAAUUCCGCGUGUAGCAGUGAAAUGCGUAGAUAUGCGGAGGACACCGAUGGCGAAG